UCCUACGGGAGGCAGCAGUGGGGAAUAUUGGACAAUGGGCGAAAGCCUGAUCCAGCCAUGCCGCGUGUGUGAAGAAGGUCUUCGGAUUGUAAAGCACUUUAAGUUGGGAGGAAGGGCAGUAAGCUAAUACCUUGCUGUUUUGACGUUACCGACAGAAUAAGCACCGGCUAACUCUGUGCCAGCAGCCGCGGUAAUACAGAGGGUGCAAGCGUUAAUCGGAAUUACUGGGCGUAAAGCGCACGCAGGCGGUCUGUCAAGUCGGAUGUGAAAUCCCCGGGCUCAACCUGGGAACUGCAUUCGAAACUGGCAGGCUAGAGUCUUGUAGAGGGGGGUAGAAUUCCAGGUGUAGCGGUGAAAUGCGUAGAGAUCUGGAGGAAUACCGGUGGCGAAGGCGGCCCCCUGGACAAAGACUGACGCUCAGGUGCGAAAGCGUGGGGAGCAAACAGGAUUAGAUACCCUGGUAGUCCAUGCCGUAAACGAUGUCUACUAGCCGUUGGGGCCUUUGAGGCUUUAGUGGCGCAGCUAACGCGAUAAGUAGACCGCCUGGGGAGUACGGUCGCAAGACUAAAACUCAAAUGAAUUGACGGA
This 588-nucleotide ribosomal RNA is filed under the name uncultured bacterium. RNAcentral describes it as "bacterial SSU rRNA". It matches the Rfam family "Bacterial small subunit ribosomal RNA", at positions 337 to 917 of the family's 1533-position model. The record is from RNAcentral.